RNA transcript from Acanthochromis polyacanthus (spiny chromis), 285 nucleotides. It is a transcript of the gene named ATP synthase membrane subunit e, with no coding region annotated. The record is from RefSeq and is a predicted model, not a curated record. Lineage: Eukaryota; Metazoa; Chordata; Actinopteri; Pomacentridae. The transcript has 4 exons.
UGUCAACAUGGUUCCUCCGGUCGCAGUGUCGCCGCUUAUCAAGACGGCCAGAUGGUCCGCGCUGCUGCUCGGCGUGUUCUACGGCAAGCAGAGGUUUGAAUACCUGAAGCCCAUAGCAGAGGAGGAGAGGAGGGUCGAGGAGGCAGAGAAGAAGGCCCGAGAGGAGCAGGAGCGCAUCUACAAACAGCUGUCUGAAGCCAACUCCGACACCAUCCUCAAAUGAACCACUUCUGGACCUGUGUUAUAUUCCAAAUUAAAUAAAAACUGAAAAUAUUUUUCAUGUAA